This 1884-nucleotide ribosomal RNA is filed under the name human gut metagenome. Its description in RNAcentral is "bacterial LSU rRNA". It matches the Rfam family "Bacterial large subunit ribosomal RNA", at positions 3 to 1980 of the family's 2925-position model. The record is from RNAcentral.
UCAAGCGAACAAGGGCGCAGGGCGAAUGCCUUGGCACUGGGAGCCGAUGAAAGACGUGAUAAGCUGCGAUAAGCUUCGGGGAGCUGCAAAUAAGCAUUGAUCCGGAGAUUUCUGAAUGAGGAAACUCACCUGGGUUCAUACUCAGGUACGUUAUACUGAACUUCAAAAUAGGUAUAUCGAGGGAACCGCCUGAACUGAAACAUCUAAGUAGGGCGAGGAAGAGACAUCAAACGAGAUUCCGUAAGUAGUGGCGAGCGAACGCGGAAGAGGGCAAACCGAGAGUAGAAAUACUUUCGGGGUACGGACUGCUUUUAGGACUUAAUCUGUUAACCGAACGGCAUGGGAAGGCCGGUCAGAGAGUGUGAGAACCACGUAGGUGAAAACGGAGAGAGCUGCGCAGGAUCCAGAGUACGGCCAGACACGUGAAACCUGGUCGGAAUACGGGGGGACCACCCUCCAACCCUAAAUACUACCCAGUGACCGAUAGCGUAUAGUACUGUGAAGGAAAGGUGAAAAGCACCCCGGGAGGGGAGUGAAAAAGAACCUGAAACCCUGUGCCUACAAGCACCUAGAGCACGUCAAAGUGUGAUAGGGUACUUUUUGUAGAACGGUCCGGCGAGCGAUUGUAUGCAGCAAGGUUAAGGACUUAAGGUCUGGAGCCGAAGCGAAAGCGAGUUUGAAAAGGGCGUUAAGUUGCAUAUAAUGGGCCCGAAACCGGGUGACCUACCCAUGGUCAGGUUGAAGUGGAAGUAAAAUUCCAUGGAGGACCGAACCGACCUCCGUUGAAAAGGCGGCGGAUGAACUGUGGGUAGCGGAGAAAUUCCAAUCGAACCCGGAGAUAGCUGGUUCUCCCCGAAAUAGUUUUAGGACUAGCCUCAAGUUAGAUACCUGGAGGUAAAGCACUGAAUAGCCUAGCGGCCGAGAGGUUAGCGAAGCUUAUCAAACUCAGAAUGCCAGAGUAUUGAUGCUUGGGAGUCAGACAGUGUCAGAUAAAUGUCAUUGUCAAAAGGGAAACAGCCCAGAUCUACAGCUAAGGUCCCAAAUUGUAUCUAAGUGGAAAACGAUGUGGAAAUACGCAGACAACCAGGAUGUUGGCUCAGAAGCAGCCACUCAUUCAAAGAGUGCGUAAUAGCUCACUGGUCGAGCGUCUUUGCGCGGAGAAUUUAACGGGGCUAAACCUGACACCGAAGCUUAGGCAAUCCAGCAAUGGAUUGGGUAGGGGAGCGUUGUAUACGCGGAGAAACAGUAGCGUAAGCGGCUGUGGAGUGUAUAGAAGUGAGAAUGCCGGAAUGAGUAGCGCGAAUGCAGUGAGAAUCUGCAUGGCCGAAAGCCUCAGGUUUUUGGAGGAAGGUUCGUCCGCUCCAAGUUAGUCGGGAGCUAAGGUGAGGCCGAAAGGCGUAGCCGAUGCACAGACGGUAGAGAUUCCGUCACCACCAAAAGAGUUAAGCACAGGGACACAUUUGAAGUCUCAGAGCCGGGUGUUGGUUCCGGUAGAGAUCGAGGGAAGUUAGUACCGAAGUCUGGGAUGGAAGAUGGCGAGAAAAGCUGUGUGUAUUUCUGAGGUGCCCGUACCGCAAACCGACACAGGUAGGUAGGAAGAAGAUUCUAAGGCCAACGGGAGAAGGGUUGUUAAGGAACUCGGCAAAUUGACCCCGUAACUUCGGGAGAAGGGGUGCUCCAGAGAUGGAGCCGCAGAGAAUCGGCCCAAGCAACUGUUUACCAAAAACACAGGUUUGUGCUAAAUCGAAAGAUGACGUAUACGAGCUGACGCCUGCCCGGUGCUGGAAGGUUAAGAGGAGAUGUGCAAGCAUUGAAUCGAAGCCCCAGUGAACGGCGGCCGUAACUAUAACGGUCCUAAGGUAGCGAAAUUCCUUGUCAGGUAAG